This 492-nucleotide ribosomal RNA is filed under the name uncultured bacterium. Its description in RNAcentral is "partial 16S ribosomal RNA". It matches the Rfam family "Bacterial small subunit ribosomal RNA", at positions 29 to 507 of the family's 1533-position model. The record is from RNAcentral.
AGUGAACGCUGGCGGUAGGCCUAACACAUGCAAGUCGAACGGCAGCACAGUAAGAGCUUGCUCUUACGGGUGGCGAGUGGCGGACGGGUGAGGAAUACAUCGGAAUCUACUUUUUCGUGGGGGAUAACGUAGGGAAACUUACGCUAAUACCGCAUACGACCUACGGGUGAAAGCAGGGGAUCUUCGGACCUUGCGCGAUUGAAUGAGCCGAUGUCGGAUUAGCUAGUUGGCGGGGUAAAGGCCCACCAAGGCGCCGAUCCGUAGCUGGUCUGAGAGGAUGCUCCGUCAGGUGUGAUCUGUAUCUCGCACCAGACUCCUACAGGUGUCACCGGUACGUAGUAUUAGACCAGGAAAGCAGGCCUAGCCGAGGCAUUCCGCGUGAGUGUGGAAAGCCUUCGACCUGUAAAACUCUUUUGUUGCGAAAGAAAAGCUGCCGGUUAAUAACCCCCUGUACUGACGGUACCGGUACAAUCAGCACCGGCUAACUACGUG